AGGAGGAACAGCCCCAGUGGCGGGGCCUGCUCUGGAAACCUGGAUUCAGCCCUCGCAGUAACUCCGGAGCUCUCCGUCUGCAGGGCCUGGAAGCUGGGGCGGG
RNAcentral lists this microRNA precursor (103 nucleotides) under Canis lupus familiaris (dog). Its description in RNAcentral is "mir-8834 microRNA precursor family". It matches the Rfam family "mir-8834 microRNA precursor family". The record is from Rfam by way of RNAcentral. Lineage: Eukaryota; Metazoa; Chordata; Mammalia; Carnivora; Canidae. RNAcentral also lists the same sequence under 1 other name.